Mesocricetus auratus (golden hamster) is the source of this 1139-nucleotide long non-coding RNA. RefSeq lists it as uncharacterized. The record is from RefSeq and is a predicted model, not a curated record. Lineage: Eukaryota; Metazoa; Chordata; Mammalia; Rodentia; Cricetidae. The transcript is spliced from 3 exons.
UGCUUUGACAGGUCUCCAAGACUCAGUGAGGUUCUCUCUGGUGACUAGGAGGGGGUUCUGGGUUGUCGACACUCAUCAUCCGGCCACCAUCCCACUCAGCUCUGGGAAGUGACCCUCUGGACUGGCCUUUCCCACAGCUCUGGCUGUCAGUGGCCCUGGCAGAGUGGCUCCUGAACAGAUUGGUGCCCCGUGUGAAGAAUUCGUCUCUUUCGGAAGUACGCUGAUGGGCCAAUUGGUCUUUGGAUGAGAGUACCCCUAUAAAUUGGACCAAUUGGUCUUUGGAUUUUACAUCAAGUCCAAUGGCCAUAGACAGAGCAGUCCUAAGAAGAUUUGACCCUAACCUGCCUGUUUCCUUGUAUAUCAUCCCUGGAGAGUUUUAUGCAUGGCACUAGCAGCACAAGAGGGAAUGAUUGCAGAGGUGGCUGCUGCUGCUGCCUUUCCUGGUACUGGUGAUGCUCAUCUCACCCAGUGACAAAAUCAAAAGGCCUCAGGAGGACUUGGAAAGGAGACGUUGGGACCUACAGGAUAACCCUUGUGGACAGGCAUAAGUAGCUUUCUACCCUACCUUCUUCCUCUACUUGGACCUUUGCUUCUCCUCCUCCUCCUUCUCCUUACUGUUGGGCCCUGUCUUUCAAUAAGACCAUACAAUUCAUCUACCCAUGGCUAGAGGCAGUAAAACAUCAUCAGGUCAAAGUACAUUAUCACAGGCUCACUACUCAGAAGUUGAACUCCUAUGAUUGGCCAUCUUCCUAUGAAUGUCCCUCCCCCACCCUCCAUCUGACCAGUGAUGGGUAAGAUCUCAGAUAGGCUGGGACAACCUAAGCCAGAUACAUGGUACUCAAAGAUGGGUAAGAUCUCCAGGUGGGAGACAACCUAAGUCAGGGACCAUACACAAAAACAAAAGGGGAGAUGUUGGGCCUAAAAAGGCCCAGACACAAGACUUAGCGGAAUUUCCUGAGCCUGGCUUGAGUUUGGCGACCUGUCUCAGCAACACUGCCUCUGCCCAGCUACUGCUAACAUGGUGGAAUAUUAUUGGCCCUUACACCUCACCCCAUCCUUUGGUCCCCACCCUCUUUCUCAACCCCAUUUAAACACAUGCCUGUUAAAUAAAGCGAGACUCUGCUUUGACAGGUCUCCAA